UACGUAGGGUGCGAGCGUUAAUCGGAAUUACUGGGCGUAAAGCGCACGUAGGCGGCUUUGUAAGUUAGAGGUGAAAGCCCGGGGCUCAACCCCGGAAUUGCCUUUAAGACUGCAUCGCUUUGAAUCCGGGGAGAGGUGAGUGGAAUUCCGAGUGUAGAGGUGAAAUUCGUAGAGAUCGGGAGGAACACCCGUGGCGAAGGCGGCCAUCUGGACCAGUACUGACGCUGAGGCACGAAAAGCGUGGGGGAGCAAACAGG
RNAcentral lists this ribosomal RNA (257 nucleotides) under uncultured bacterium. RNAcentral's name for it is "partial 16S ribosomal RNA". It matches the Rfam family "Bacterial small subunit ribosomal RNA", at positions 524 to 776 of the family's 1533-position model. The record is from RNAcentral.